RNAcentral lists this ribosomal RNA (497 nucleotides) under Escherichia coli. RNAcentral's name for it is "bacterial SSU rRNA". It matches the Rfam family "Bacterial small subunit ribosomal RNA", at positions 993 to 1490 of the family's 1533-position model. Lineage: Bacteria; Pseudomonadati; Pseudomonadota; Gammaproteobacteria; Enterobacterales; Enterobacteriaceae. The record is from RNAcentral.
GAACUUUCCAGAGAUGGAUUGGUGCCUUCGGGAACUGUGAGACAGGUGCUGCAUGGCUGUCGUCAGCUCGUGUUGUGAAAUGUUGGGUUAAGUCCCGCAACGAGCGCAACCCUUAUCCUUUGUUGCCAGCGGUCCGGCCGGGAACUCAAAGGAGACUGCCAGUGAUAAACUGGAGGAAGGUGGGGAUGACGUCAAGUCAUCAUGGCCCUUACGACCAGGGCUACACACGUGCUACAAUGGCGCAUACAAAGAGAAGCGACCUCGCGAGAGCAAGCGGACCUCAUAAAGUGCGUCGUAGUCCGGAUUGGAGUCUGCAACUCGACUCCAUGAAGUCGGAAUCGCUAGUAAUCGUGGAUCAGAAUGCCACGGUGAAUACGUUCCCGGGCCUUGUACACACCGCCCGUCACACCAUGGGAGUGGGUUGCAAAAGAAGUAGGUAGCUUAACCUUCGGGAGGGCGCUUACCACUUUGUGAUUCAUGACUGGGGUGAAGUCGUA